GUGCCUUGAGCCUGAGUCCUCUUCAAAUAAGGAUUUGAGGAAUUAUAAGGAUUUGACUAAGUCAAAAGAUUUGAUUUGGUCAAAGUCUUGUGGGACUUGGACUCCUUGUUGUUAUGAGAUUAGAUCUCAUAAUUAAAGCCCAACAUCCUAUCUAAUUUUGAGCCUUGGGUCAUCACACCAAGAGGGGAUUUCAUGUGGAAAAAAGGGAAGAGAGCGCUAGGUAGUUAAGGAGUAGAAGGACUCUUGUGCACCUUAAGUCCUUUACACCCCUUAUGCUCACGCAAAGAAACAUAUGGCACCAUCCUUUUCUCACGCCCC
Molecule: long non-coding RNA, 318 nt
Filed under: Elaeis guineensis (African oil palm)
Lineage: Eukaryota; Viridiplantae; Streptophyta; Magnoliopsida; Arecales; Arecaceae
Description: long non-coding RNA (EGUI_LNC070233)
Source: RNAcentral